UCAUAUUCACAUUAAAAAUUUUGGUCCCUCCUUUGACGACUUCAAUAAUUUUUAAUUUCGGUCAUAUCUUUGGUAUUUUCUGUGAACGUUUGUAAUUUCGGACAUUAUAUGUAACAAUCCUACUAUUCAUUCCACAAUGAAGGCCAGUGGGCCUAGAUUUUUAAUUUGAUACACGUAUAAACUUAACACUGCGCAAGUUAUGUCACGGAAUGCAGUAUAGGGGAGGAGAAAAUAUUUGGCUGGACCAGGAGUCAAACCUAGGAUCCCUGCAUUACUAGUCAGGUGCUCUAACCACUGAGCUAUCCAGGUCGAUAUCCACGGUCCGUGUAGCCCUAACUACUAAAUUCCUCCCUUUAAUUUGUCUUUGCCGUCGAAGACACACAACCCAAGAUUCAUUUCACCCCUGGCAGGACAAGAGUAGUCACGGCACCAACUGGUAAAAUCUUGCACAGAGGUCCCUGGGUUCAAUUCCCGAUCCAGCCACAAAUUUUCUCCGUGUAUGUCUAUCUGAGACUGAGUUGGAAAAUUACGGUAUCUUCAUAGUGACAAACUAAUGAAAAUAUUGAUCAAAUUCGACUGGUCAAGGACUGUUAAUAUAAAUAAAUUUGAAACAUUGGUCAUUGUAAUGAUUGGUUUCAUGUUAUACUAAGCUUGUGUUUCAAGACAAGGCUGUCUUUGUUGGUGAUGAUACUGAUGUAUAUAUUUAGAAACAAGUAAUGCUUUGAUUUUGAUUACAGGUGUGGUCUUUAAAAAAAUUAAUGCAUGGCAAGGUUGAUAGUGAGACUAAUAAAUUCUUUCAGCAGAAUUCAGCUAGACACACAAAAAAAGACAAUCACUACAGCCUUCCAAGAAGAUGGACUGCCUCACAAUAGUUUCCUUGAGGACUGUCUUGAAAUAUCCAGAGUUUAAGAUUCAAGAAACGGACUCUAUCUGGAAAAGGAAAACAAUAUCAAAGCUCCUCUGAGAGAAGUUGGCCAAGGAAAGCAUUUAGAAGAAAGUGGAGAUUCAUUGUUUUUACCAGAUCCAGCAGAUCACAGAAAGCAUCUAGUAGGGGAGGUCUACAGAUCGAAGCAUGCCAAACGUGUAAAGAACAAGUUUCCAGGAUUAAGCCAGCCAGUAGAUGAGACUAUUAUAUCAAAAAUACAUUUACUUGUACACGAGGGCACACAAAGCGUUGAUGAAACAAAAAGACAUUUCCGUCUGUUUGUAAAGGAUACUAUUUCACCAGGGAACACCAUCUCAGAAUUUAACAGAUGCUUUUACCCCGCCAAUAAGGAUGUAAGAAAUCACAUUUACAGGGCACCGAGAUUUUGCCAGGUAGUUUAGAACUGUGUGCAUUGGUUUUGGAAGAAUUUGGACUGUUUAGGCUAAAAUCCAUUAUGAUUGGACAGAAUAUGAACACACACAUCCAAUACUUCAAAGAUAUUAUGUUUGUGGAGGCAGAGAUUUUGAUUGCAUCCACUGUUUAGAAUACAUCCUUAAGGGAAGCAGACUGCCGCCUUUACCCAAUGAUAUAAUGAUUAAUCAUAACUAUAUCUGUUUUGUACCAAAUAGAAAGACCAUUGAUUCAGGUCAUUUUCAAAUCCACUGGCAUACAUUGUACUAUACAUGCAACCUUUUCAAACUUUACAUUUAAGAUUUUGUAAAGGAAAUAUCUUAAUGUUUCACAUGUUUACCUUUCACUGUGCUAUGUAAUUCAUUAUACCUGCCAUUAUUCCAGUCUUCCUGAACAUAAUUUGUUUUCUGCAAUUUCAUUGGCCAAGAGGCUUAAUCCUGGGUUAUCAGAUUGAGCAUUUAUAUUUAGUAUCCCAUUGAUUUUGUCAGCCCUAUAUAAGGAGCUGACUCAGAUUUACUCACUCUGCUAGGUUAAAGAACUCUAAGGUUUGUACUUUUCACAUGAAUUUCGUGUUCGCCUCUUAUCUUUUACAUAGAGUAGGAAAUGAACAUAACAUUGAGUUAGGGAACAAUUUAGAUUUUACAUUAUAAUAUGUAAAUACCUUAGCAGAGUCAAUUUACUUGGUUCAGGGUAGUAUCAGAUAUUACUUUUUCAGAGUUUAAGUGUUUAGGCUAUCUCAAUGUUUCUAUAGUUAGCCUUGUCCUAUGUUACUUUUAGAUGUAUGGAAGCCUUUUAGUGUUAUAACACUAUAUUUAUGCUCCCAUUCAAAGAAGAGGGGCAUAUUGGUUUGCACCUGUUGGUCGGUCGGUAGACCACAUGUUGUCCGCUUAAUAUCUUAAGAACCAUUCACUUGAUCGUAACAUAUUUCAUAUGUGGGUUGGUUAUGAAAAGAAGAGGACCCCAAUUGUUUUUCGGGUCGAAAUGUCAAGGGUCAAUCUACUCUGGACAUAGGAAGACACUGCCUGCUCAAUAUCUUGAGAACCCUUUGCUUGACAGACAUCAAACUUGGUACACUGGUACAUCUCAAGGAGUAGAUUUGAGGUCACAUGGUCAGAAGUCAAGGGGUAAACUGGACAUAGUAAUAUAUUGUCUCUUAUGUUUUAAGAAUUAUUUGCUUGAUUGACACCAAACCUGGUACAGCAUAAGGAGUAGAUGACCCCUAUUGAUUUUUAGGUCACUUGGUCAAUCCACUCCUGACAUAGGAAGAUAUUGUUUGCUCAAUAUUUCGAAUUGAUGAUACUACUAUCAAUCAAAUUAUGCAUGUGUAUAACCCUUUUCAAUUUUGCACCAUGGGGGCUUAUAUGUUUUACAAACACCUCAUGUUUUAUAGUUUGUGAAAGCUUGUUAGGGUCAUAACUUUAGAUUUUCUUAUUAUGGUACUUGCCCGUCAGAGACUGGACAUAUUAUGGUAUGUUGUUGUCUGUCCGGACCUUGUAAGAUGGGAUACAGACUGAACCGUAAGCUCCAGAAUCUUACAACUUGGUACAUUUGAUCACCAUAAAAGGAAGAUGCUUAUUGUUUUUUAAGGUCAAGGUUGUAGGUUCACUUAAUAGGAAAACCUUGUUUGAGAAAAUUACAGAUUCUUGAACUGAGUAUUUUGAGGAAACAUUACAUAGAAAGUACAUGAUUUGUCAAAUUUCUCCCAAUAUUCAACUGAGAACCUUAUUCUGCAGAGUAUUUGUAUGGGUAUGGAAAAUGUGUAUGUGGUUAUGAUUUUGAUUUUUGUUUAAUUUUUUUUGUUGUUGAAAAUUACAGGUUUAACCGAGUCAGUUUUUGAGGAAAUAUACAUGUAUUAAAUAAAUGACGGUUGACCUUUUAACUCAUCUCACAGUUUUGAAGCUAGGGUCUUUGUAAAUAACUUCUUUGGUGUUUUAGAAUAUUUACAGAUUGUUGAUCAUGGUCAAUUUUGGGGAAAUAUUUUCCGCAGAGCUCUAGUUGUCUAUCUACCGGCCUCCUGUCACUUUUAAGUUUAGGAGCUUUUAUUCAUGGAAAGAAAGUAUGUGACAGCCUGAUGAUGGCUGAUACUAUUUAAAGCCUUUUUAUACGCCCGUCUUAAGACGUUCCAUAUUAUGGUAUGGCGUUCAUGUCCGUCCGUCUGUUAGCUUUUUCGUGUCCGACCCGUAACUUAAAUACUACAAGGCCUAGAAUCAUCACACUUUGUCUGUAGAUACAUCUUGGGUAGAAGGUGUGUCGCACAUUAAAACCAGGUCACUGUGACUUUUCAUUAAGAAGAUAUCCGUCUGUCCGUCCGUCUGUUAGCUUUUUCGUGUCCGACCCGUAACUUAAAUACUACAAGGCCUAGAAUCAUCAAACUUUGUCUGUAGAUACAUCUUGGGUAGAAGGUGUGUCGCACAUUAAAACCAGGUCACUGUGACUUUUCAUUAAGAAGAUAUGGCCAUAUAUGGCAAAAACUUGUCCGGCUCAUAACUUGAAAACUAUUAGACCUAGAAUCACCAAAAUUGGUCAACUAAUGCAUCUUAGGUAGAAGGUGUGUUGCAUCCUACUUUAAGGUCACUGUGACUUUUAAUUAAGGUGAUAUAAAAAAAAAUGUUUUAAUGGGUACAAUCUAUACUGUUAACAAUAUGUGACGGGCGUAUCAUGUGCCGUGACGUUGCACUUUAUUCUAGAAAUGGCAUCAGAAAAACACCCUAUGUAACCUUUUCUGCUUGUACUCAUUUAUUUUUAUUGGAAAACUUAUUACUUGUUAUCAGCUACUCUAAAACAAUAUUGACUUGUGCUAUAAUAAAUUUGUAAAC
This is a long non-coding RNA of Ostrea edulis (European flat oyster), 4152 nucleotides long. RefSeq lists it as uncharacterized. NCBI's taxonomy places the organism in Eukaryota, Metazoa, Mollusca, Bivalvia, Ostreida, Ostreidae. The transcript is spliced from 6 exons. The record is from RefSeq and is a predicted model, not a curated record.